CCUACGGGAGGCAGCAGUAGGGAAUUUUCCACAAUGGGCGAAAGCCUGAUGGAGCGACGCCGCGUGGGUGAAGAAGGUCUUCGGAUCGUAAAACCCUAUUGUUAGAGAAGAAAGUGCGGGAGAGUAACUGUUCACGUUUCGACGGUAACUAACCAGAAAGCCCCGGCUAACGACGUGCCAGCAGCCGCGGUAAUACGUAGGGGGCAAUCGUUAUCCGGAUUUAUUUGGCGUAAAGGGAACGCAGACGGUCUUUUAAGUCUGAUGUGAAAGCCUUCGGCUUAACCGGAGUAGUGCAUUGGAAACUGGGAGACUUGAGUGCAGAAGAGGUGAGCGGAACUCCAUGUGUAGCGGUGAAAUGCGUAGAUAUAUGGAGGAACACCAGUGGCGAAGGCGGCUCUCUGGUCUGUAACUGACGCUGAGGUUCGAAAGCGUGGGUAGCAAACAGGAUUAGAUACCCGAGUAGUC
Molecule: ribosomal RNA, 465 nt
Filed under: uncultured bacterium
Lineage: Bacteria
Description: partial 16S ribosomal RNA
Rfam family: Bacterial small subunit ribosomal RNA
Source: RNAcentral